This 468-nucleotide ribosomal RNA is filed under the name uncultured bacterium. Its description in RNAcentral is "partial 16S ribosomal RNA". It matches the Rfam family "Bacterial small subunit ribosomal RNA", at positions 28 to 507 of the family's 1533-position model. The record is from RNAcentral.
GACGAACGCUGGCGGCGUGCUUAACACAUGCAAGUCGAACGGAAAGGCCCUGCUUUUGUGGGGUGCUCGAGUGGCGAACGGGUGAGUAACACGUGAGUAACCUGCCCUUGACUUUGGGAUAACUUCAGGAAACUGGGGCUAAUACCGGAUAGGAGCUCCUGCUGCAUGGGGGGGGUUGGAAAGUUUCGGCGGUUGGGGAUGGACUCGCGGCUUAUCAGCUUGUUGGUGGGGUAGUGGCUUACCAAGGCUUUGACGGGUAGCCGGCCUGAGAGGGUGACCGGCCACAUGGGGACUGAGAUACGGCCCAGACUCCUACGGGAGGCAGCAGUGGGGAAUAUUGCACAAUGGGCGGAAGCCUGAUGCAGCAACGCCGCGUGCGGGAUGACGGCCUUCGGGCUGUAAACCGCUUUCGCCUGUGACGAAGCGUGAGUGACGGUAAUGGGUAAAGAAGCACCGGCUAACUACGUG